RNAcentral lists this long non-coding RNA (2365 nucleotides) under Malus domestica (apple). Its description in RNAcentral is "long non-coding RNA (MDOM_LNC005924)". Lineage: Eukaryota; Viridiplantae; Streptophyta; Magnoliopsida; Rosales; Rosaceae. The record is from RNAcentral.
AGAGUAUUGUAUUAGAGAAAGAUCGUAUUGCAUUGUAAUCCUAAACUGAAUAGGUUCUCCACCUCUUCUAAUUAGCUUGGGUAACCAUGACAUACUGUGGAAGCCCUAAACAUGUAUAAUCACUAAAGGGAGAAUUGAAAGUAAGUUUCAAUUCACCAUUGAUUUGAAAGAGUUCUAAUCACCCACUGCCUCGCUAAAAAGAACCUAAUGGAUCGUACACAAUGCAAGGUAGAGAUUGAAGAAACAACGGAGAUGAGUAAGGAUAAUUAAAUGGUUUAAUUAUUUAUUGCAAGGAUUAAUUAAUAUGUUAAUUAAUCAAACGAAUAAUGUUCGUUAAAGACCUCGGGUUAGUUUUGAGCCUCAAGGCCCAUUGGGCUUCGAACGUCUAGCCCAUUUACUUAAGUUGUAUGAAAACUUAAUCACUAAUAAUUCACAAAGGCCCAAACAGCUCAAUAAAACCCUAUGGCCGGCCAUUGUGAUAAAGGAGUGGAUUUUGGACUUAUUACAAGUUUGCCACUCCAAUGAAGGUAGGUAUAAAUGUGACUUUAUAGCCUUUUCUUCAUUAGGGUUUCUUUUGGAGAAAAAGAUGAGAACACAAGCUCUCUUUUCUCUCUAAGAGGCCGGCCACCCUAGAGGAUUUUAGCUAGCAAUCUUUCUUCCUCUAGGUCACUCAUCUCUUCUUCAAGUCCUACCUUGGUGUGGAGACUUAGAGGUUCUCAACUUUGGGAACUUGAAGAAUCCUUUCAACCAUCCUCAUCCAAGAAAUCCAUAGAGCUAAGAAGCAAGGAAUGAAGGCCCUAUCCUUGGGUGAUUAGCCUUUGCUUAUGCAAAGAGGAAUCAACAAAGGUAUAAGAUUUCUCAACUCACUUUGUUCUUGAGUUGAGUCUUGGUUCACCCUUCUACUAGGCUUUGAAUUUCAUAGGUAAUGCUUUUUUUUUUUUGAGUGCAUACAAGCAUGAUUCCACCUUUAAUUGUUAAUUGCAUGCCAUAGAUGUUGCUCAAAUGGACAUGUUUUCACAAAUUUUCCAUCAUCUUCCUCCUUGAUCUUGGACAAAAUUGCACCUACAAAACAACUAACACCUUUGGUUAAGACCGUAUUGCAUUGUAAUCCUAAACUGAAUAGGUUAUCCACCUCUUCUGAUUAGCUUGGGUAACCAUGACAUACUGCUAGGUGUCACUCAUGGUUUGUGGAAGCCCUAAACAUGUAUAAUCACUAAAGGGAGAAUUGAAAGUAAGUUUCAAUUCACAAUCGAUUUGAAAGAGUUCUAAUCGCCCAGUGCCUCGCUAAAAGGAACCUAAUGGAUCGCACACCGUGUAAGGUAAUACUUGAAGGAUUUAACGGAGAUGAGUAAAGACAAUUAAAUGGUUUAAUUGUUUAUGGCAAGAAUUAAUUAAUAUGUUGAUUAAUCAAAUGAAUAAGUUCAUUUUAAACCUUGAGUUAGUUUUGGGCCUUAAAGCCCAAAUUUGGCUUCGAAUCGUCAUGCCCAUUGCUUAAGUUGUAUGACAACUUAACAAACAAAAUUCAAGAAGCCCAAAAUAGCCCAAAGGCUUGGGAAACCCGGCCAUAUAGAGAGGGGUAGUGAACUUGGCUUAAUUGCAAGUUUGCCACUCCAUUGUGAGGUCGUAUAAAGGCAACUUUAUAGCCAUUUCAUCCUUAGGGUUUCUUUUGGAGAAAAAGAUGAGAACACAAGCUCCUUUUUCUCUCUAAGAGGCCGGCCACCCUAGAGGAUUUUAGCUAGCAAUCUUACUUCCUCUAGGUCACUCAUCUCUUCUUCAAGUCCUACCUUGGUGUGGAGACUUAGAGGUUCUCAACUUUGGGAACUUGGAGAAUCCUUUCAACCAUGUUCAUCCAAGAAAUCCAUGGAGCUAAGAAGCAAGGAGGGAACUUGGAGAAUCCUUUCAACCAUGCUCAUCCAAGAAAUCCAUGGAGCUAAGAAGCAAGGAAUGAAGGCCCUCUCACAUGGGUGAUUAACCUUUGCUAAGCAAAGAGGUGCUUCAAAGGUAUAAAAUUUCUCAACUCACUUUGUUCUUGAGUUGUGUCUUGGUUCACAUAACUACUAGGCUUUGAAUUUCAUGGGUAAUGUUUUGUUUUUGAGCGCAUACAAGCAUGAUUCCGCCUUUAAUUGUUAAUUGCAUGCCAUAGAUGUUGCUCAAAUGAACACGUUUUUCACAAAAUUCCCUUCAAGUGGUAUCAUAGCCUAGGUCUAGUAGUUGGUGAAUCCUUUUGGGUUUUGUAUUUUCAUAGUUUAUGAUUUGAAUGUUCUAAUUGUUGAAGGAUUAUUUUGUGAAAACUUGUUCAUUUGAAUAACAUCUAUAGCAUGCAUUUAACAAUUAAAAGGCGGAAUCAUGCUUGCAUGCAUUCAAA